RNAcentral lists this ribosomal RNA (444 nucleotides) under Aplysia morio. RNAcentral describes it as "partial 16S ribosomal RNA". It matches the Rfam family "Bacterial large subunit ribosomal RNA", at positions 1796 to 2587 of the family's 2925-position model. The record is from RNAcentral. Lineage: Eukaryota; Metazoa; Mollusca; Gastropoda; Aplysiida; Aplysiidae.
CCGACUGUUUAACAAAAACAUAGCCUAGGGAAAAUUAUCCUAGGUGAAACCUGCCCGGUGACUAGAUUUUAACGGCCGCGGUACUUUGACCGUGCUAAGGUAGCGUAAUCAGUUGACUUUUAAAUGAAGUCUUGUAUGAAUGGAUUUAUGGGAUUAAGCUGUCUCUUUUGUAUUCUAUUGAAAUUACUAAUUAGGUGAAAAGGCCUAUAAGUGAAAAAAGACGAGAAGACCCUUAGAGUUUUAAUAAUAGGUUUUUGUUGGGGCGACAAGAAGACAUAUAUAACUCUUCUAUUAGAAAGAUACUUGCCGGUUCUUUUAAGUGUGGAUAAACUACCUUAGGGAUANCAGCAUAAUCCAGUUUGGGUUNGUGACCUCGCAUGUUGGACUAGGAAANUUGUGCCCAANCAGGGNGUAUNNGUAGNUUAUGCNGACGNUUAACCAAAA